Molecule: ribosomal RNA, 394 nt
Filed under: uncultured bacterium
Lineage: Bacteria
Description: partial 16S ribosomal RNA
Rfam family: Bacterial small subunit ribosomal RNA
Source: RNAcentral
CCUACGGGUGGCAGCAGUGAGGAAUAUUGGUCAAUGGACGAGAGUCUGAACCAGCCAAGUAGCGUGAAGGAUGACUGCCCUAUGGGUUGUAAACUUCUUUUAUCAAGGAAUAAAACGAGGCACGUGUGCCUUUUUGCAUGUACUUUAUGAAUAAGGAUCGGCUAACUCCGUGCCAGCAGCCGCGGUAAUACGGAGGAUCCGAGCGUUAUCCGGAUUUAUUGGGUUUAAAGGGAGCGUAGAUGGGUUGGUAAGUCAGGGGUGAAAGUUCGCGGCUCAACCGUAACAUUGCAGUUGAUACUGGCGGUCUAGAGUACAGUUGAGGUAGGCGGAAUGCGUGGUGUAGCGGUGAAAUGCUUAGAUAUCACGAAGAACCCCGAUUGCGAAGGCAGCGUAC